AAUGGUAAUCUUAUCAACUAUAAUAUCAUCAAAGUUGUCGUAAAAAUCAAAAUAUUGGAGUAAAAGUUAUAGUCAUGAUCAGUUAUAAUAAAAGCGCCGUAAAAAGAACACAGGAAAAAGAUAGCGACUCUUCGAGGGGGUUCCAUUGCAACGCGUCUCGCAGUUUAAUUACCUGGGUCAUAUUGUCACGGAAGAUCUGAGUGACCAUAUGGAUAUUGAAAGAGAGCGUAGGGCUCUCUUUCAAAGCGGUCCGAUGCAACAUGGUGGCCCGCAGUUUUGCUAAAUGUACCGCUGACGUCAAGGGUCAUCCUUAUCAACUUCUAAUCCAGUCCAUCGCAGAGCAAGCUUCAACCAACUUCUUUGAACUAUCAUCAGACCAACGCUCCACCAAAUGGAUUUAGUAUAUUUCUAUUUAUUUUGUUCAGAGGAUACAUACGCGCACUUUAGCGCCAAAUGUUUGUGUAAUAAAACUGUAAUCGUGGCCUUAAUUAACUUAGUUAUUCCUUUACCUUUGACGUAUAUGUUACUGUAAAAGCCCGAACUACGGAACGUCUUAAGAAUUUCCAGUAUAUUUUGACAUUUACCAACAUUGAAUGGUAUA
Long non-coding RNA from Plodia interpunctella (Indianmeal moth), 601 nucleotides. RefSeq lists it as uncharacterized. The transcript is spliced from 3 exons. Lineage: Eukaryota; Metazoa; Arthropoda; Insecta; Lepidoptera; Pyralidae. The record is from RefSeq and is a predicted model, not a curated record.